CUGGGACUGAAGGUGUGCACCACACAUCUG
Molecule: non-coding RNA, 30 nt
Filed under: Cricetulus griseus (Chinese hamster)
Lineage: Eukaryota; Metazoa; Chordata; Mammalia; Rodentia; Cricetidae
Source: RNAcentral